UGACUCUGGAUCCAGACACGGCUCAUCCCCAGCUCGCCCUGUCUGAGGAUCGGAGACAUGUGAGAUGGGGAUACGCCCGGCAGGAUCUGCCCAACAAUCCUGAGCGAUUUGACACUGGAUCAGUCAUAACCCUGAGGGGGGGCAGGGGGGGCAGAUCUAUUUAUAAAGAGCAAUCAUAUCUCCCCUCAGCAGAGUGCAGGACAGAGUCACAAACCCGAGCAGGAACAGGUCUCCUCACGACAUUAUCUAAGGAGGAAGGAGAAGAUCAUCUUCUGUUUUCAGCAGAGGAGAGGAAACUGCUAUAGAAUCAAACUUUAACAAAAACUGACAAAGUCAUCUUUCCCCCUGAAGACAAAACUCCCAGUAUAGCCUGAUCACUAGGAUAGCUGACAAUAAAAAUUCCUAUCAAAUCGUACAUCAGGAAUAAGGAGAAAGAAUAUUGCAGAAAUGAAAAAUGUCUGGAGGAAGGCUACAAGUAUGGUCAGAGUUGGGAAAGACUUCCAUCUGAGCAGAGACUUAAAAGCCCUACCACAUAUCCUGUUCUAAGGAGCGUUCUGGUGACCAUAUUUGAAUGGAAGACCUGCAAGGUACUUCAGGAGGAAGAGCUUCUGGUGAUUCAACCAAGAGAUAGGAAACAAUCGAUGGUGAGUUGUGCGAAGAGGAGAGCUUUGUCGAACAUGGAGGCCUUGAGAAGGCAAUCGUCGAGGGGUUUGGAUUCCUAAAGACCGGAGGGUUGCCCUUGAAUCCUUCUUUGAGUGAAGCACAUCAUUCAUGGUGGAAGCAAAGGGUUUGUCACCGUCGAAGGGAAGAUCUUCAAUGGUACUUUGAACCUCACGAGGAAAAGAAGAAGAGGAGAGCCAUGAACCUUGGUGCAUGACCACUGCAGUGGCAGUGGAUCUUGCUGCUGUAUUGGCUGCAUCGAGGGCUGCUUGAAGACCUGUACGUGAUAUGAUUUGCCCCUUGGAAGCUAAGGCUGUGAAUUGUUGUUUCUUUUGUUCUGGAAUGUCUUCAAUAAAGUCCAUGAAUUUGU
Long non-coding RNA from Mauremys reevesii (Reeves's turtle), 1030 nucleotides. RefSeq lists it as uncharacterized. The transcript is spliced from 7 exons. The record is from RefSeq and is a predicted model, not a curated record. Lineage: Eukaryota; Metazoa; Chordata; Testudines; Geoemydidae.